CGAGCGGACAGAAGGGAGCUUGCUCCCGGAUGUUAGCGGCGGACGGGUGAGUAACACGUGGGUAACCUGCCUGUAAGACUGGGAUAACUCCGGGAAACCGGAGCUAAUACCGGAUAGUUCCUUGAACCGCAUGGUUCAAGGAUGAAAGACGGUUUCGGCUGUCACUUACAGAUGGACCCGCGGCGCAUUAGCUAGUUGGUGGGGUAAUGGCUCACCAAGGCGACGAUGCGUAGCCGACCUGAGAGGGUGAUCGGCCACACUGGGACUGAGACACGGCCCAGACUCCUACGGGAGGCAGCAGUAGGGAAUCUUCCGCAAUGGACGAAAGUCUGACGGAGCAACGCCGCGUGAGUGAUGAAGGUUUUCGGAUCGUAAAGCUCUGUUGUUAGGGAAGAACAAGUGCGAGAGUAACUGCUCGCACCUUGACGGUACCUAACCAGAAAGCCACGGCUAACUACGUGCCAGCAGCCGCGGUAAUACGUAGGUGGCAAGCGUUGUCCGGAAUUAUUGGGCGUAAAGGGCUCGCAGGCGGUUUCUUAAGUCUGAUGUGAAAGCCCCCGGCUCAACCGGGGAGGGUCAUUGGAAACUGGGAAACUUGAGUGCAGAAGAGGAGAGUGGAAUUCCACGUGUA
RNAcentral lists this ribosomal RNA (631 nucleotides) under Bacillus safensis. RNAcentral describes it as "bacterial SSU rRNA". It matches the Rfam family "Bacterial small subunit ribosomal RNA", at positions 63 to 677 of the family's 1533-position model. Lineage: Bacteria; Bacillati; Bacillota; Bacilli; Caryophanales; Bacillaceae. The record is from RNAcentral.